AAGGCUUCGUUUGCCAGUGUCUAACAAAAGUGAACCAUAUGUCACGACAUGAAAACAGCAGAAAAGCAUUCGCAUGCCAUCAAUUCGCUGAAUCGAUUAUUGAAUUCUUCGCCUCUUGCCUCUCUCAACAUGCCGAUUGCCUCAGACGGCAAUAAUUUCACAAUUCAAGAUGAGUUAGAUGACAACAGAUCUCACUGUAUAUAUCGAGAUCGUUAAAGGCUAAAACAGUCAUCACUAUAUAUAUUGAGUAUUGAUCAAAUUAUACUGCUAUAAAAAAACCACAAUUC
Paramuricea clavata is the source of this 287-nucleotide non-coding RNA. NCBI's taxonomy places the organism in Eukaryota, Metazoa, Cnidaria, Anthozoa, Malacalcyonacea, Plexauridae. The record is from the annotation of a GenBank genome assembly.